Long non-coding RNA from Sinocyclocheilus rhinocerous, 947 nucleotides. RefSeq lists it as uncharacterized. The transcript has 3 exons. Lineage: Eukaryota; Metazoa; Chordata; Actinopteri; Cypriniformes; Cyprinidae. The record is from RefSeq and is a predicted model, not a curated record.
UCUCUUGAAUGUGAAUAUAAGUCUAAAUUUAAACAGUAUUAUAUAGAGCGGUCGCCGAUCGUGUCUCUUUAGGGCACUUGGAGGAAACCACGCAAUUCAUAUGGAUUACUUUGGCGAUGUUUUUUUGCGAUUUCAACUUUUUGAAACGUGAACAUCUUUGGUGAAUCUUCUUUCAUCGGAGGGACAUAAAUCUCUCAGAUUUUUAUUAAAAUAUCUCAGCUUUUCUUUUGAAGAUGAACGAAAGUCUUAGAUGGUUUGGAGCAUCUUAAGGGUGAGUGAUGACAGAAUUCAAAUUGUUUUGGGGGAACUAUGAAAUUAAUUAGAAAAUAUAGCGGUAUGUUCUUAUUUUUACCAGCUUCUGCAAGCGUGUAUGGCGUCUGGCUUUUGGAACCUCACUGUGACUUCAGAUAAGAACAAAGAUUAAAUUGUAAGAAGGGUUGCUUAUAUGAGAGCAUACAGUACAUCUGAAACUGCUGAGGCUGGGAAGGUUUUUGAGGUACAUUGUUCUCAGCGUACUGUCAUUCUUAAAAAGAAAACAAAUCAUCAAUCAUCAUUUGCUUUUUUGUGUGUGUGUGUGUGAAAUAUUAACAUUUGUUGUUUUUCAGAUCAGCUGCUAUAGAAGACAAACUGAAAUCUGAGUGCAGAGACAAGCAAAGGAAUACUGCAAGGCUCUGGUGCAAAAUAUUGUAUGCCAGGAGUCAGGACGACUAGGCUGUGCCCAGGUCUCCGGAACCUGCGACGACGCUCAGCUCCAUCAGCCCUCCAUCUGCGCCUUCGGAUCCACCAGCUCGGUCUCCGUCGGUCGGCCCCCAGAUGUUGGCAGCCACACCAUCUACAUUUUGGCUCCUCGCUCCCUCGAUUCCGCCGUGUGUUGUCAGCACUGGGAUGCUCUGGGUCUGUGCCAUGUGCCAAACACCAUCUAAGCUGCCAGGGCAUCAUCGUCAUCC